RNAcentral lists this ribosomal RNA (207 nucleotides) under uncultured bacterium. Its description in RNAcentral is "partial 16S ribosomal RNA". It matches the Rfam family "Bacterial small subunit ribosomal RNA", at positions 524 to 729 of the family's 1533-position model. The record is from RNAcentral.
UACGGAGGGAGCUAGCGUUGUUCGGAAUUACUGGGCGUAAAGCGCACGUAGGCGGCUUUGUAAGUUAGAGGUGAAAGCCCGGGGCUCAACCCCGGAAUUGCCUUUAAGACUGCAUCGCUUGAAUCCGGGAGAGGUGAGUGGAAUUCCGAGUGUAGAGGUGAAAUUCGUAGAUAUUCGGAAGAACACCAGUGGCGAAGGCGGCGUCAC